CCUACGUGAGGCUGCAGUGAGGAAUCUUGGUCAAUGGGCGCGAGCCUGAACCAGCAAAGUCGCGUGAGUGAAGACGGUCCUAUGGAUUGUAAACCUCUUUUGUCGGGGAGCAAAAGACGCCACGCGUGGCGUUCCGAGAGUACCCGAAGUAACAGCAUCGGCUAACUCCGUGCCAGCAGCCGCGGUACUACGGGGGAUGCGAGCGUUACCCGGAUUUAUUGGGUUUAAAGGGUGCGUAGGCGGAAGGUUAAGUCAGCGGUCAAAUGUCGGUGCUCAACACCGGCGUGCCGUUGAAACUGGUCUUCUUGAGUGAGCGAGAAGUGUGCGGAAUGCGUGGUGUAGCGGUGAAAUGCAUAGAUAUCACGCAGAACUCCGAUUGCGAAGGCAGCAUACCGGCGCUCAACUGACGCUGAGGCACGAAAGCGUGGGGAGCGAACAGGAUUAGAUACCCGAGUAGUC
Molecule: ribosomal RNA, 459 nt
Filed under: uncultured bacterium
Lineage: Bacteria
Description: partial 16S ribosomal RNA
Rfam family: Bacterial small subunit ribosomal RNA
Source: RNAcentral